Monodelphis domestica (gray short-tailed opossum) is the source of this 117-nucleotide small nuclear RNA. The record is from Ensembl. Lineage: Eukaryota; Metazoa; Chordata; Mammalia; Didelphimorphia; Didelphidae.
AUGUUGUAUGAAAGGAGAGGUUAGCAUUCUAUUCCUCCUGACAAAGAUGGAAGAGGAUCCAUUGGCCUUUACAUAAGGCACUGCCACCUACCCUGUGGCAUCUCAUGAUUAUAAUAA